RNAcentral lists this transfer RNA (68 nucleotides) under Graffilla buccinicola. RNAcentral describes it as "tRNA-Leu". The record is from RNAcentral. Lineage: Eukaryota; Metazoa; Platyhelminthes; Rhabdocoela; Graffillidae.
UUUGGGGUAGUAGAAUUGGUAAAAUUAUAUGUGGCUCAAACCCACAAGGUGGCGUUAGCCCCUCAAGG